This 239-nucleotide ribosomal RNA is filed under the name uncultured bacterium. Its description in RNAcentral is "partial 16S ribosomal RNA". It matches the Rfam family "Bacterial small subunit ribosomal RNA", at positions 1262 to 1500 of the family's 1533-position model. The record is from RNAcentral.
GUUUAGCAAAUCUCUUAAAGCCGUUCUCAGUUCGGAUUGUAGGCUGCAACUCGCCUACAUGAAGUCGGAAUCGCUAGUAAUCGCGGAUCAGCAUGCCGCGGUGAAUACGUUCCCGGGCCUUGUACACACCGCCCGUCACACCAUGAGAGUUUGUAACACCCAAAGCCGGUGGGGUAACCUUUUGGAGCCAGCCGUCUAAGGUGGGACAGAUGAUUGGGGUGAAGUCGUAACAAGGUAUC